GAUCCUCCACAUGGAAGCACCGUUCAGCUCCGGUUAUCUUCUCCGGGCAGCUCCUUCGCUUAUCUCAUUCUCUCGCGAACCAAGCCCUAGCUUAUGCUGGCUUUCUCUCUUUUCCUCGAAUGAAUUUCUCGAGAGCUUGUGUGAAUGAAGAUGAGGUGCAAAGACCCUUGCAACAGCAACUCCCAAAACGGCGUCGUCCCACUAAAGUGCAG
This 212-nucleotide long non-coding RNA is filed under the name Vigna radiata. RNAcentral's name for it is "long non-coding RNA (VRAD_LNC011479)". Lineage: Eukaryota; Viridiplantae; Streptophyta; Magnoliopsida; Fabales; Fabaceae. The record is from RNAcentral.